This 253-nucleotide ribosomal RNA is filed under the name uncultured bacterium. Its description in RNAcentral is "partial 16S ribosomal RNA". It matches the Rfam family "Bacterial small subunit ribosomal RNA", at positions 524 to 776 of the family's 1533-position model. The record is from RNAcentral.
GACGUAGGGUGCAAGCGUUGUCCGGAUUUAUUGGGCGUAAAGAGCUCGUAGGCGGCUUGUUGCGUCGACUGUGAAAACCCGCGGCUUAACCGCGGGCUUGCAGUUGAUACGGGCAGGCUAGAGUUCGGUAGGGGAGACUGGAAUUCCUGGUGUAGCGGUGAAAUGCGCAGAUAUCAGGAGGAACACCGGUGGCGAAGGCGGGUCUCUGGGCCGAUACUGGCGCUGAGGAGCGAAAGCGUGGGGAGCGAACAGG